AACGAACGCUGGCGGCAUGCCUAACACAUGCAAGUCGAGCGAGACCUUCGGGUCUAGUGGCGCACGGGUGCGUAACACGUGGGAAUCUGCCCUUUGCUUCGGAAUAACAGUUAGAAAUGACUGCUAAUACCGGAUGAUGUCGAAAGACCAAAGAUUUAUCGGCAAAGGAUGAGCCCGCGUAGGAUUAGGUAGUUGGUGGGGUAAAGGCCUACCAAGCCGACGAUCCUUAGCUGGUCUGAGAGGAUGAUCAGCCACACUGGGACUGAGACACGGCCCAGACUCCUACGGGAGGCAGCAGUGGGGAAUAUUGGACAAUGGGCGAAAGCCUGAUCCAGCAAUGCCGCGUGAGUGAUGAAGGCCUUAGGGUUGUAAAGCUCUUUUACCAGGGAUGAUAAUGACAGUACCUGGAGAAUAAGCUCCGGCUAACUCCGUG
RNAcentral lists this ribosomal RNA (433 nucleotides) under uncultured bacterium. Its description in RNAcentral is "partial 16S ribosomal RNA". It matches the Rfam family "Bacterial small subunit ribosomal RNA", at positions 29 to 507 of the family's 1533-position model. The record is from RNAcentral.